This 253-nucleotide ribosomal RNA is filed under the name uncultured bacterium. RNAcentral's name for it is "partial 16S ribosomal RNA". It matches the Rfam family "Bacterial small subunit ribosomal RNA", at positions 524 to 776 of the family's 1533-position model. The record is from RNAcentral.
UACGAAGGGGGCGAGCGUUGUUCGGAUUUACUGGGCGUAAAGGGCGCGCAGGCGGCAGACCAAGUCAGGCGUGAAAGCCCCGGGCUCAACCUGGGAACUGCGUUUGGGACUGGUUUGCUAGAGAUCGGGAGAGGAGAGUGGAAUUCCCAGUGUAGAGGUGAAAUUCGUAGAUAUCGGGAGGAACACCUGUGGCGAAGGCGACCCCCUGGUUGGAUACUGACGCUGAGACGCGAAAGCGUGGGGAGCAAACAGG